This is an RNA transcript of Ictidomys tridecemlineatus (thirteen-lined ground squirrel), 1283 nucleotides long. It is a transcript of the gene named small nuclear ribonucleoprotein polypeptide A, with no coding region annotated. NCBI's taxonomy places the organism in Eukaryota, Metazoa, Chordata, Mammalia, Rodentia, Sciuridae. The record is from RefSeq and is a predicted model, not a curated record.
UAAAUUUCUCGAGAUUUCUCUCCGCACGCGGGCUGGAGGAGCGGAAUCCCUGGCUCGCAUUGUUGCUCAAGCUGUGCCUUCACCCCCCAACUCCCGUCUUACCUGACUUCCUCUUGGAAGGAAGAUUCCCUGAGUAGAGCCUUUUCUCUCCGUUCGGGAGAAAAGAUUUGGAAAAACCCAAGUCUUAACUCACCCUUUUCCUUCUUUAAGCCGUACCUCGGUACCUCUCUCCAUGGCAGUUCCCGAGACCCGCCUCAACCACACUAUUUAUAUCAACAACCUCAAUGAGAAGAUCAAGAAGGAUGAGCUGAAGAAGUCCCUGUAUGCCAUUUUCUCCCAGUUUGGCCAGAUCCUGGAUAUUCUGGUGUCGCGGAGCCUCAAGAUGAGAGGUCAGGCCUUUGUUAUCUUCAAGGAGGUCAGCAGCGCCACCAAUGCCCUGCGAUCUAUGCAGGGUUUCCCCUUCUAUGACAAGCCCAUGCGUAUCCAGUAUGCCAAGACUGAUUCAGAUAUCAUUGCCAAGAUGAAGGGCACCUUUGUGGAGAGGGACCGCAAGCGGGAGAAGAGGAAGCCCAAGAGCCAGGAGACCCCAGCUGCCAAGAAGGCUGUGCAGGGUGGGGCGGCUGCUCCCGUGGUGGGAGCGGUCCAGGGGCCUGUCCCGGGCAUGCCUCCAAUGACUCAGGCACCCCGCAUCAUGCACCACAUGCCGGGCCAGCCUCCCUACAUGCCACCCCCUGGCAUGAUCCCGCCACCAGGCCUUGCACCAGGCCAGAUCCCACCAGGGGCCAUGCCCCCACAACAGCUUAUGCCAGGGCAGAUGCCACCUGCCCAACCUCUUUCCGAGAAUCCACCAAAUCACAUCUUGUUCCUUACCAAUCUGCCAGAGGAGACCAACGAGCUCAUGCUGUCCAUGCUUUUCAACCAGUUCCCUGGCUUCAAGGAGGUCCGCUUGGUCCCUGGGCGGCAUGACAUCGCCUUUGUGGAGUUUGACAACGAGGUGCAGGCAGGGGCAGCUCGGGAUGCCCUCCAGGGCUUUAAGAUCACCCAGAACAACGCCAUGAAAAUCUCCUUUGCCAAGAAGUAGCACCUUUUCCCUAGGCCUGUCUUUACCCCUGUUCUGGGGCUGUCCCUUCCCCCUUGGCUCAGCCCCUGAAGAAGGCUGGUAACUGAAACCACAGAAAUUGAAAACUGCUGAUGGUGGGGAGUGGACACUACAGCAAAAAUAAUGGGAUGUCACUUCCACGAUAAGAUUACAAAGACUGGCUUCUUGUUGCUAGCUGUCUUUG